AAGGGGACUCUAACCCCCGUCCCUAACUCCCAAAGCUAGGAUCCUAAUUUAGACUAUUGUUUGCCGGGCUCUGCCU
This 76-nucleotide transfer RNA is filed under the name Tropheus sp. 403. RNAcentral's name for it is "transfer RNA-Thr". The record is from RNAcentral. Lineage: Eukaryota; Metazoa; Chordata; Actinopteri; Cichliformes; Cichlidae.